UUAACAAAAACAUGUCCUUUUGAUUAGUAUUUAAGGUCUGAUCUGCCCUAUGAUUUAUAGUUUUAAAUGGCCGCGAUAUUUUGAUCGUGCGAAGGUAGCAUAAUCAUUAGCUUUUUAAUUGAAAGCUGGCAUGAAUGAUUGGACAAGAAACUUUCUGUCUCAAAUUUAUUUUUUGAAUUUUAUUUUUUAGUUAAAAAGCUUAAAUUAUUUUGUAAGACGAGAAGACCCUAUAGAGUUUUAUAUUUGUUAUUUACAUUUAGAUUUUAGAAUUUAGAAUCUUUUUGUUUUAUAAAGUAUUUGGUUGGGGUGACAGAAAAAUUUAUUAAACUUUUUAUUUUUUAAAAUAUAAAUUUAUAGGUUGUUGAUUUACAUGAGUAGUUAGAAGACUAAAUUACCUUAGGGAUAACAGCGUAAUUUUUCUAAAGAGUUCAUAUCGAAAGAAAAGAUUGCGACCUCGAUGUUGGAUUAAAGUUAAAAUUUGGUGCAGAAGCUAAAUAGUUUAGUCUGUUCGACUAUUAAAACUUUACAUGAUCUGAGUUUAAACCGGCGUGAGCCAGGUUGGUUUCUAUCUUCAAUUAGUUAAAAUAUUUUAGUACGAAAGGACCAAAUAUUUUUUAAAUUAAUUUAUUUGAUUGAAUGAAAUU
Molecule: ribosomal RNA, 644 nt
Filed under: Agrilus sulcicollis
Lineage: Eukaryota; Metazoa; Arthropoda; Insecta; Coleoptera; Buprestidae
Also listed under: 1 other name
Description: partial 16S ribosomal RNA
Rfam family: Bacterial large subunit ribosomal RNA
Source: RNAcentral